Molecule: long non-coding RNA, 220 nt
Filed under: Elaeis guineensis (African oil palm)
Lineage: Eukaryota; Viridiplantae; Streptophyta; Magnoliopsida; Arecales; Arecaceae
Description: long non-coding RNA (EGUI_LNC072974)
Source: RNAcentral
AGGGGAUGGCUCUCUCUCUUAGAGAGGACCCUCAAGGGAUCCCUCCUUUUCAAAUCCUGUGGAGGAUCUUUACUUGCUUCCUUCUCAAAAAGACAAAGGAAUUAUAGGUAAUAUGCAUGGAUUUCUAGAAGAAGAUGAUGAAGGGGUAGAUCUAGGCUAGUAGGUUUUCUUGGCAUUAGAUCUAGACAGGAAAGAUACUUACGGUAGCUAAGAGGGGAGC